This 487-nucleotide ribosomal RNA is filed under the name uncultured Pseudomonadota bacterium. RNAcentral's name for it is "bacterial SSU rRNA". It matches the Rfam family "Bacterial small subunit ribosomal RNA", at positions 224 to 704 of the family's 1533-position model. Lineage: Bacteria; Pseudomonadati; Pseudomonadota. The record is from RNAcentral.
GAUGAGCCUGCGUCCGAUUAGCUAGUUGGUGAGGUAAAGGCUCACCAAGGCGACGAUCGGUAACUGGUUUGAGAGAACGACCAGUCACACUGGGACUGAGACACGGCCCAGACUCCUACGGGAGGCAGCAGUGGGGAAUCUUGGACAAUGGGGGAAACCCUGAUCCAGCGACGCCGCGUGUGUGAAGAAGGCCUUCGGGUUGUAAAGCACUUUCGGCAGGGACAAACAAGACGGAGCUAACAUCUCCGUUCCUGAUGGUACCUGAAGAAGAAGCACCGGCUAACUCUGUGCCAGCAGCCGCGGUAAUACAGAGGGUGCGAGCGUUAAUCGGAAUUACUGGGCGUAAAGCGUGUGUAGGUGGUUUGUUAAGUCAGAUGUGAAAUCCCUGGGCUCAACCUAGGAAUUGCAUUUGAUACUGGCAAGCUUGAGUGCGGUAGAGGGUAGUGGAACUCCCGGUGUAGCGGUGAAAUGCGUAGAUAUCGGGAAG